GACGAACGCUGGCGGCGUGCUUAACACAUGCAAGUCGAACGGAAAGGCCCUGCUUUUGUGGGGUGCCCGAGUGGCGAACGGGUGAGUAACACGUGAGUAACCUGCCCUUGACUUUGGGAUAACUUCAGGAAACUGGGGCUAAUACCGGAUAGGAGCUCCUGCUGCAUGGUGGGGGUUGAAAGUUUCGGCGGUUGGGGAUGGACUCGCGGCUUAAUCAGCUUGUUGGUGGGGUAUGGCUUACCAAGGCUUUGACGGUAGCCGGCAUGAGAGGGUGACCGGCCACAUUGGGACUGAGAUACGGCCCAGACUCCUACGGGAGCAGCAGUGGGGAAUAUUGCACAAUGGGCGGAAGCCUGAUGCAGCAACGCCGCGUGCGGGAUGACGGCCUUCGGGUGUAAACGCUUUCGCCUGUGACGAAGCGUGAGUGACGGUAAUGGGUAAAGAAGCACCGGCUAAC
RNAcentral lists this ribosomal RNA (457 nucleotides) under uncultured bacterium. RNAcentral describes it as "bacterial SSU rRNA". It matches the Rfam family "Bacterial small subunit ribosomal RNA", at positions 28 to 501 of the family's 1533-position model. The record is from RNAcentral.